UCAUAAAUAGAUAAACGGCCCAUUUAAGGGCUCCAUAGAUCAACCAAAAUUCCCUGCGGUGGGUUUACCCCGGAUCCGACUCCACUCUUCCAGGUUCCAAGAAAUACCCCUCAAUUUCAUGCCUAAAAAGACCUUUAUCUUCCAUGGCGUUUCUGAAAGUAGUUUAAAAAUGGCAGUUUCUUAUACACAGUUUUCGAUUGUAUCUGCACAACCUUAGUUACCUGCUAUGAUGUCUCUCAAACUUAAUUCUCCGGCCGUCAAUGGCUUUCAGGUUUUACGACAGUUGACCAAUUCUAAUAUGUGUAUUUUGAGCAUCAGAUUAUACGGGACACGUCCAAUUGCAAGACCUAGAAUAGCCUGCAAUAUGAACGUAGCAGCUGGACAAUCUGAUGAACCUCACAAAUUUAACUUGGAGACCGGACAAGGAAAUUGCGGGACAGAACUCCUACACGUGAAGAGUUUCCCUUGGAAUAGAGCACUGACAUUGUUUUGACAAUUACCAAAUACCAGUGCUUGUAUUUGCCUCAAUCAUUUGAUUGCCAUUGGCCUUUUCUUCACUCUGCUAAAGUUGCCGGGACCGUAUUAUCCAUAUUGGGAUCGAGUUUUUAUUCCACACUUUGCAAAUGGGGCAUUGUUUAGAACUCUGCGAUUUGCUUUCCUCUGGUACAGAAGGCCUAGGAAGUCAUUAGAAAAGGCCCUGCCUGAUUCAAUAGUUGCUGAUCCUGAACAAAAGGAGCUAUAACUUUUUGGCGACGAAGUAUUUGAACUGGUAAUAAUAUCUGUUUUCCUAAAAGUAGUUUCAUUUGCAUGUUAAAACUUGUUGCUACUUGCGCCCUAAAGAAAAAUGAUACAUGUACCUUUCCUUUGGUUAUAAAAAAAGAAAAAUAAUACAGCCGCCAAUGCUUGGCCAAAGGUGUUCUAAAUGAGAAAGGCGUUGUAGUUGUUUGUGACAUGCACUUUUGUCUACUGUAAGUGCAUAUGUGCUCUUUUCUUUUUAAGGGGCAAAGGGAAUUGAGAAUACAAUAUGUUUGUAGUAAGCCUGCUUGAUAGGUCUUGCACAUUUGUAAAUUUUGUUUUGACUAUUGUCACCUACGUUGCACGGAAUCUCCCGAAUGAAAGUUACUUAAAUAUUCUAUGAUCAACUCUAAUGAUAAUGCCCGUAUCAGUUGCAUUAAGCUAAUGCCCGUAUCAGGUAGAUGACGGUCUAAGAAGUAUUGGGGAGAGGUGAUCAGGCAGGACCUGACACGAUUGCAGAUUUCCGAAAACAUGGCCCUUGAUAGGAAGGUUUGGAAGUCGAGCAUUAGGGUUGUAGGAUAGGGUGGUAGUCAAGCUUUUCCUCCUCCAUUCCAGGGGUGAAACGAGUUUGAGUAGGUUGGUCCUAGACAGGCUUGUGGUUAAUGUAGCGUUCACACUAACCUUACUGUUUUCCAUAGCUCUAGAGCUUAGUUGUAGGUUAUGGUUAUUGCAUGUCAUCUAUUUUAUGGUUUUUAGGAUGCUGUCAUUAUUUCUAUGGUUAUGUUGACGUUACUGAUGAAUUGUUUUUUCUUGUUUUCUUGUUUUAUUUUCAUCUUCAUGAGCCGAGGGUCUAUCGGAAACAGCAUCUCUGCCCUAUCGGGGUAGGGUAAGGUCUGCGUACACACUACCCUUCGCAGACCCCACUUAGUGGGACUUUACUGAGUCGUUGUUGUUUUGUGACCUUUCCAACUAAAUGAAUGUCCUUUAUAUCAAGGUCUAGGCUGUAUAUUAAUGCUUACUCAGAGAAGAUGUUUCUCUUGACGACUCUUGAAUGCUUUAAGCAACAAUUUGAACUUCCAACUUCAAAGUCUAUUUGAAAUACAUUUAGACUUAAUGCAAAUGAUAUGAUGGCAAAGUCAUCCAAUAACUUAAUUAUACCUGUAAUCCCUUUGUAAUAGUUAGUAUGGUUAAGGUUUCUAUAUUUAACCAUUUGAGUAUUUGACUUUUAACUUUCGGAUGUGGAAUUAUAAAUUGCUAAGUAUUGGUAAUAGAAGCACCAGUUGUCUUUGAUAUUUAAGUUGUUAAAUGCAGUCAUGACAGCAAUGCAAGUGAUUCUUUGAUUUGGGUAUCAAAGUGUUUGGCUAGAGGUGGCAAACGGAGAGGUCGGAUCAGAUCGAAAACGGGUAAUGUAAAAACGGAUAAAUUAUUCUACCUGACCUAAUUUAAUACGGAUAAAAAUGGGUUAAUCUACUUAUAUUAUCCAUGGGUUUUUGAAUAUGAUCACUUUUGGGAGAAUUCCUAGUCUCCCAAACUCGAGGAACCCCAAUUUGAGUCUUUUCAAAUGUAAAAGCUAAACUCAUUAGUUAUCCAUUUUUCUAAUUGGAUAAUAUGGUUCUUAUCCAAUAUUUGACCCGUUUUUUAAAAGUUUAUUAUCCAACUCAUUUUUUAGUGGAUAAUAUAUAUGGGCGGAUUACUGUUGUUUUUAUCUAUUUUGCCACCACUAGUGUUGGCCAUUGGAAGUUUCUUUUGCAGUUCAGAAAAUUAGAUAUUUGCAAGGCACUGUUAACGACAGAUGAAAUUAUUUUGGUUAGGGGCAAAUCACUAUUUUUGGCAAAUUGUGCCACAGCAGUCAAUUGGUCUGGCUAUUGGAUCAACCAAGUUUGAAGAUCUUUGAUUUUCACUUUAAGAGGGCUUUGGUUUUUAGUUCUAGAUAAGAAAGCUUCUUUGCAAUCAGAAAAUAGGUAUAACAGUUAAUAGUUUUCAUUAUAAACACUUUCAGAUUUAUCUUCAGUGUAAUGCUCACAAGAGUGUCUCCCUUGUACUCUCUUCAUUGUAUUUUGUUCUCUUUGUAAUUGGAUUCUUAUGAGGUUACUAACUAUUAACCAGGUCAACUGGGAAGAGCAAUCUUAUUUCUGAUA
Nicotiana tabacum (common tobacco) is the source of this 2873-nucleotide non-coding RNA. Lineage: Eukaryota; Viridiplantae; Streptophyta; Magnoliopsida; Solanales; Solanaceae. The record is from RefSeq and is a predicted model, not a curated record.